GCCAUGCGAGUCACAUAGCAAUAUGUGGCAUACGGCUCAGUAACACGUAGUCAACAUGCCCAGGGGACGUGGAUAACCUCGGGAAACUGAGGAUAAACCGCGAUAGGUCAUCACUUCUGGAAUGGGUAAUGACUUAAAUCUACAUGGCCCCUGGAUUGGACUGCGGCCGAUCAGGCUGUUGGUGAGGUAAUGGCCCACCAAACCUGUAACCGGUACGGGCUCUGAGAGGAGGAGCCCGGAGAUGGGCACUGAGACAAGGGCCCAGGCCCUAUGGGGCGCAGCAGGCGCGAAACCUCUGCAAUAGGCGAAAGCUUGACAGGGUUACUCUGAGUGAUUUCCGUUAAGGAGAUCUUUUGGCACCUCUAAAAAUGGUGCAGAAUAAGGGGUGGGCAAGUCUGGUGUCAGCCGCCGCGGUAAUACCAGCACCCCGAGUGGUCGGGACGUUUAUUGGGCCUAAAGCAUCCGUAGCCGGUUCUACAAGUCUUCCGUUAAAUCCACCUGCUUAACAGAUGGGCUGCGGAAGAUACUAUAGAGCUAGGAGGCGGGAGAGGCAAGCGGUACUCGAUGGGUAGGGGUAAAAUCCGUUGAUCCAUUGAAGACCACCAGUGGCGAAGGCGGCUUGCCAGAACGCGCUCGACGGUGAGGGAUGAAAGCUGGGGGAGCAAACCGGAUUAGAUACCCGGGUAGUCCCAGCUGUAAACGAUGCAGACUCGGUGAUGAGUUGGCUUAUUGCUAACUCAGUGCCGCAGGGAAGCCGUUAAGUUUGCCGCCUGGGGGAGUACGGUCGCAAGACUGAAACUUAA
RNAcentral lists this ribosomal RNA (803 nucleotides) under uncultured crenarchaeote. RNAcentral describes it as "bacterial SSU rRNA". It matches the Rfam family "Archaeal small subunit ribosomal RNA", at positions 48 to 859 of the family's 1478-position model. The record is from RNAcentral. Lineage: Archaea; Thermoproteati; Thermoproteota.